ACGUAGGGGGCUAGCGUUGUCCGGAUUUAUUGGGCGUAAAGAGCGUGUAGGCGGCCUGGUAGGUCUGCUGUGAAAACUCGAGGCUCAACCUCGAGAUGUCGGCGGAAACCAUCUGGCUAGAGUCCGGAAGAGGAGAGUGGAAUUCCUGGUGUAGCGGUGAAAUGCGUAGAUAUCUGGAGGAACACCGGUGGCGAAGGCGGCAUCCUGGUCCGGCAUUGACGCUGAGGCGCGAAAGCCAGGGGAGCAAACGGGA
Molecule: ribosomal RNA, 253 nt
Filed under: uncultured prokaryote
Description: partial 16S ribosomal RNA
Rfam family: Bacterial small subunit ribosomal RNA
Source: RNAcentral